This 336-nucleotide unclassified non-coding RNA is filed under the name soil metagenome. RNAcentral describes it as "partial contains 5.8S ribosomal RNA, internal transcribed spacer 2, and large subunit ribosomal RNA". The stretch from base 1 to 120 matches the Rfam family "5.8S ribosomal RNA", at positions 35 to 154 of the family's 154-position model. The record is from RNAcentral.
GAUGAAGAACGUAGCGAAAUGCGAUAAGUAGUGUGAAUUGCAGAAUUCAGUGAAUCAUCGAAUCUUUGAACGCACAUUGCGCCCCUCGGUAUUCCGUGGGGCAUGCCUGUUCGAGCGUCAUCUACACCCUCAAGCUCUGCUUGGUGUUGGGCGUCUGUCCCGCCUCCGCGCGUGGACUCGCCCCAAAUUCAUUGGCAGCGGUCCUUGCCUCCUCUCGCGCAGCACAUUGCGCUUCUUGAGGGACUCCGGUUCGCGUCCAACAAGCACAUUUACCGUCUUUGACCUCGGAUCAGGUAGGGAUACCCGCUGAACUUAAGCAUAUCAAUAAGCGGAGGA